GUUUAAUCAGCCAAAAAGACGAUGGUGGAAAUUGAAAGGAGGAUAAAGAGUAGUGUAGGUCCAAGUGUCUUGACCUUCAAAGACUUUUGCCACAUCAUACCUAUUCGAAGGAGAUGGGGAUAGGAGUUUAGCACCAAGCUAUCGUAAGGGUAUAGCAUUGAGCUAUGAUAGAAAUCCAAGUUACAGCUACUCAUACGGUAGAACUAUCAGUAGAGUAAAACUAAGAUAAGAUAAAAAGAUACAUUGGAUUGAUUGUCGAAGGAUCUCUUCAUAUAAUAUAAUUUUAUUUAUUUAUACUAAAACAGAAUAACUAUCCUAAAACACGAGCAUUGCCCACUCUAAUAGUUGUUAUCCAUGUCUAGCCUCUAAAUCUGGUGGUUCUAGUAAUUAACAUCGGUUGCUUUUUCACUUGCAUGACCAUCACAAUGCACUUAGCAUUAUUGCUGGACUGAUAUUCAAAGUUGUUAUGACAAUCAAUGAUUAAGGUGAUGUGGUAUGACUAGAUUCAUCCAACUCAUCAUCUAUGUGCUGACUCGGGCGCUCUCAAA
This 548-nucleotide long non-coding RNA is filed under the name Phoenix dactylifera (date palm). Its description in RNAcentral is "long non-coding RNA (PDAC_LNC004520)". Lineage: Eukaryota; Viridiplantae; Streptophyta; Magnoliopsida; Arecales; Arecaceae. The record is from RNAcentral.